RNAcentral lists this ribosomal RNA (112 nucleotides) under uncultured bacterium. Its description in RNAcentral is "partial 16S ribosomal RNA". It matches the Rfam family "Bacterial small subunit ribosomal RNA", at positions 1373 to 1482 of the family's 1533-position model. The record is from RNAcentral.
CCCGGGCCUUGUACACACCGCCCGUCACAUCCUGAAAGCCGGUUACACCUAAAGUCGCUGUAGGAACCCGUAAGGGGCCAAGGUGCCAAAGGUGUGGUUGGUGAUUGGGAUG